GAUGAACGCUGGCGGCGUGCCUAAUACAUGCAAGUCGAGCGAACGGACGAGAAGCUUGCUUCCCUGAUGUUAGCGGCGGACGGGUGAGUAACACGUGGAUAACCUACUUAUCUGACUGGGAUAACUUCGGGAAAACGGAGAUCAUAACGGAUAAUCUUUUGAUCUGCAUGGUUCAAAAGUGAAAGAUGGUCUUGUUGUAUCUUAUCGCUGGAUCCGCGCUGCAUUAGCUAGUUGGUAAGGUAACGGCUUACCAAGGCAACGAUGCAUGGCAGACCGGCGAGGGUGUUCGCCCACACGGGAACUGGAACACGGUCCAGACUCCUACGGGAGGCAGAAGUAGGGAAUCUUCCGCAUGGGGGGAAAGCCUGACGGAGAAAGGCCGCGUGGGUGAGGAGGGUCUUCGGAUCGUAAGACUCUGUUAUUAGGGAGAAACAGAUUGGUAAGGAACUGUGCACAUCGUGACGGUACCUAAUCAGAAAGCCACGGCUAACUACGUG
This 497-nucleotide ribosomal RNA is filed under the name uncultured bacterium. Its description in RNAcentral is "partial 16S ribosomal RNA". It matches the Rfam family "Bacterial small subunit ribosomal RNA", at positions 28 to 507 of the family's 1533-position model. The record is from RNAcentral.